UCCAAGUUCAUACUCUCCAUGAUCAGGGGA
RNAcentral lists this non-coding RNA (30 nucleotides) under Mus musculus (house mouse). Lineage: Eukaryota; Metazoa; Chordata; Mammalia; Rodentia; Muridae. The record is from RNAcentral.